RNAcentral lists this ribosomal RNA (253 nucleotides) under uncultured bacterium. RNAcentral describes it as "partial 16S ribosomal RNA". It matches the Rfam family "Bacterial small subunit ribosomal RNA", at positions 524 to 776 of the family's 1533-position model. The record is from RNAcentral.
UACGAAGGGGGCUAGCGUUGCUCGGAAUUACUGGGCGUAAAGGGCGCGUAGGCGGAUAGUUUAGUCAGAGGUGAAAGCCCAGGGCUCAACCUUGGAAUUGCCUUCAAAACUGAUAGCCUAGAGUAUGAUAGAGGUAAGUGGAACUCCGAGUGUAGAGGUGAAAUUCGUAGAUAUUCGGAAGAACACCAGUGGCGAAGGCGGUUAGCUGGGCAGUUGCUGACACUGAGGCGCGACAGCGUGGGGAGCAAACAGG